RNAcentral lists this ribosomal RNA (497 nucleotides) under uncultured bacterium. RNAcentral describes it as "partial 16S ribosomal RNA". It matches the Rfam family "Bacterial small subunit ribosomal RNA", at positions 28 to 507 of the family's 1533-position model. The record is from RNAcentral.
GAUGAACGCUGGCGGCGUGCCUAAUACAUGCAAGUCGAGCGAAAAGACGAGGAGAUUGUUCUCUUGCCGUUAGCGGCGGACGGGUGAGUAACAAGUAGAUCACAUUCUUCUUUGACUGGGAUAACUUCGGGAAAAAGGAGCUACUACUGGCUCAUAUAAUGUACCGCUUGAUUCAAUAGUGCUAGACGGUUUUCGUGUCUCAAUUAGCUGGUUUCGCGCCGCAUUAGUUAGUUGGUAAGGUAACGGCUUACCAAGGCAACGUAGCGUAGCCGACCUGAGGGGGUGAUCGGCCACACGGGAACUGAGACACGGUCCAGACUCCUACGGGAGGCAGCAGGAGGGAAUCUUCCGCAAUGGGCGAAAGCCUGACGGAGCAACGCCGCGUGAGUGAUGAAGGUCUUCGGAUCGUAAAACUCUGUUAUUAGGGAAGAACAAAUGUGUAAGUAACUAUGCACGUCUUGACGGUACCUAAUCAGAAAGCCACGGCUAACUACGUG